GUUGCUCUCUGGGUGGCGAGUGGGAUGGUCCCUACAUCGGAUCUACUUUUUCGUGGGGGAUAAAGAAAGGAAACUUACGCUAAUACCGCAUACGACCUACGGGUGAAAGCAGGGGAUCUUCGGACCUUGCGCGAUUGAAUGAGCCGAUGUCGGAUUAGCUAGUUGGCGGGGUAAAGGCCCACCAAGGCGACGAUCCGUAGCUGGUCUGAGAGGAUGAUCAGCCACACUGGAACUGAGACACGGCCCACACUCCUACGGGAGG
Molecule: ribosomal RNA, 262 nt
Filed under: Stenotrophomonas sp.
Lineage: Bacteria; Pseudomonadati; Pseudomonadota; Gammaproteobacteria; Lysobacterales; Lysobacteraceae
Description: partial 16S ribosomal RNA
Rfam family: Bacterial small subunit ribosomal RNA
Source: RNAcentral